UAUUUUCCGGGGGUGGGGAAUGACUACAAACCCUAACGCGAAAAAGCUUCGUACAGGUUUGGAAAGCAGGAGGUCUUGUGUGUCUCUGGUGUUAUAAAUGGCUUUUGCCAGAGAGAAGAGAGCAUAAUAAGCUAGAAGAAAUUCUCUCUUUCUACUGUGAUCAACGUUCACUCCAGAAACAUUUUUCUCUGUUACUGAGCAGAGACCUGAGACAAGGGGCUGUCAUACUGUGUGGAAUUGCCCAUCCAUCAUAGAGGAGAAAUGACCUGGGGAGAAAGAAGUGAUGGUGGUACCCUGGGCACUCCUUCCAAACUGCAGAUGUGCCCAGGACCCCAAAAAGUUUGUGAUCAGCGGGGACUCGCUGCUGUGGAAUUAUCCGCUGAGACUCCAAGAACAUCAGUAGGGUCUGCUGGAUCAAGCCAAUGGCCCAUUUAACCCAGCAUCCUGUUCUCAGAGUGGCCAGCCAUAUGUCUGUGGGAGCCAGCAAGCUGGAUUCAAGCACUUGUAACUCUGUCUGGUGCCAUGGAUAAAAGAGCAAUGGCAAAAGAGAUACAGGUGUCUAUGUUACCUAGUUAGGUAAAGGAUAUUGUGUGAGUUCAUUUGUUAAUUGUGUCUCUUUGAUGAACAGAAAGUAAUUACUGGAAUAACAAGUUGAGUUGCACAGUCCUGUUACCUGAUUGUAUUAUAUGAGCUGAAGUGUGAA
Molecule: long non-coding RNA, 703 nt
Organism: Podarcis muralis (Common wall lizard)
Lineage: Eukaryota; Metazoa; Chordata; Lepidosauria; Squamata; Lacertidae
Source: RefSeq, a predicted model, not a curated record